Long non-coding RNA from Wyeomyia smithii (pitcher-plant mosquito), 376 nucleotides. RefSeq lists it as uncharacterized. NCBI's taxonomy places the organism in Eukaryota, Metazoa, Arthropoda, Insecta, Diptera, Culicidae. The transcript is spliced from 3 exons. The record is from RefSeq and is a predicted model, not a curated record.
CAGAACUUUAGAGCAGUUGCUUACCAAUUCGGCUCCUGUAACUAGUGUCGCUCGUAAACAUGAAAUGGAUAGCAAUAGCAACGUUAUUGGUAACUUGCAUUGGGACCCAAGCUCAGGGUCAAAAUGAUAAAAUAGAUUUAGAGAUCUUGCAGGAACUUGAGCCUAUUUGUCCCCGGUUGCCAGAUUUUGCGGAAUGGUGUUAUUCACAGGGCUUAGCAGUACGCCCGAAGCGGACCCCUACUCGUGAGAUAAUUUGUUCCAUUUUGCCCGAUGUUAUUCAAUGGUGCAAGGACAAUUUCGGAACAUAUUAUUACUAGAAUUCCGGUUGCAAUUUAACCACUUCAGGCUAAUAGCCGUGAAUAAACGUAUAAACAAA